AGACCCGAAACCCGGUGAUCUAGCCAUGGGCAGGUUGAAGGUUGGGUAACACUAACUGGAGGACCGAACCGACUAAUGUUGAAAAAUUAGCGGAUGACCUGUGGCUGGGGGUGAAAGGCCAAUCAAACCGGGAGAUAGCUGGUUCUCCCCGAAAGCUAUUUAGGUAGCGCCUCGUGAAUUCAUCUCCGGGGGUAGAGCACUGUUUCGGCUAGGGGGCCAUCCCGGCUUACCAACCCGAUGCAAACUGCGAAUACCGGAGAAUGUUAUCACGGGAGACACACGGCGGGUGCUAACGUCCGUCGUGAAGAGGGAAACAACCCAGACCGCCAGCUAAGGUCCCAAAGUCAUGGUUAAGUGGGAAACGAUGUGGGAAGGCCCAGACAGCCAGGAUGUUGGCUUAGAAGCAGCCAUCAUUUAAAGAAAGCGUAAUAGCUCACUGGUCGAGUCGGCCUGCGCGGAAGAUGUAACGGGGCUAAACCAUGCACCGAAGCUGCGGCAGCGACACUGUGUGUUGUUGGGUAGGGGAGCGUUCUGUAAGCCUGUGAAGGUGUGUCGUGAGGCAUGCUGGAGGUAUCAGAAGUGCGAAUGCUGACAUAAGUAACGAUAAAGCGGGUGAAAAGCCCGCUCGCCGGAAGACCAAGGGUUCCUGUCCAACGUUAAUCGGGGCAGGGUGAGUCGACCCCUAAGGCGAGGCCGAAAGGCGUAGUCGAUGGGAAACGGGUUAAUAUUCCCGUACUUGGUGUUACUGCGAAGGGGGGACGGAGAAGGCUAUGUUGGCCGGGCGACGGUUGUCCCGGUUUAAGCGUGUAGGUGUGUGUUCCAGGUAAAUCCGGUUCACUUUAACACUGAGGCGUGACGACGAGGCACUACGGUGCUGAAGCAACAAAUGCCCUGCUUCCAGGAAAAGCCUCUAAGCAUCAGGUAACAUCAAAUCGUACCCCAAACCGACACAGGUGGUCAGGUAGAGAAUACCAAGGCGCUUGAGAGAACUCGGGUGAAGGAACUAGGCAAAAUGGUGCCGUAACUUCGGGAGAAGGCACGCUGACACGUAGGUGAAGUGAUUUACUCAUGGAGCUGAAGUCAGUCGAAGAUACCAGCUGGCUGCAACUGUUUAUUAAAAACACAGCACUGUGCAAACACGAAAGUGGACGUAUACGGUGUGACGCCUGCCCGGUGCCGGAAGGUUAAUUGAUGGGGUCAGCGCAAGCGAAGCUCCUGAUCGAAGCCCCGGUAAACGGCGGCCGUAACUAUAACGGUCCUAAGGUAGCGAAAUUCCUUGUCGGGUAAGUUCCGACCUGCACGAAUGGCGUAAUGAUGGCCAGGCUGUCUCCACCCGAGACUCAGUGAAAUUGAACUCGCUGUGAAGAUGCAGUGUACCCGCGGCAAGACGGAAAGACCCCGUGAACCUUUACUAUAGCUUGACACUGAACAUUGAGCCUUGAUGUGUAGGAUAGGUGGGAGGCUUUGAAGUGUGGACGCCAGUCUGCAUGGAGCCGACCUUGAAAUACCACCCUUUAAUGUUUGAUGUUCUAACGUGGACCCGUUACCCGGGUUGCGGACAGUGUCUGGUGGGUAGUUUGACUGGGGCGGUCUCCUCCUAAAGAGUAACGGAGGAGCACGAAGGUUGGCUAAUCCUGGUCGGACAUCAGGAGGUUAGUGCAAUGGCAUAAGCCAGCUUGACUGCGAGCGUGACGGCGCGAGCAGGUGCGAAAGCAGGUCAUAGUGAUCCGGUGGUUCUGAAUGGAAGGGCCAUCGCUCAACGGAUAAAAGGUACUCCGGGGAUAACAGGCUGAUACCGCCCAAGAGUUCAUAUCGACGGCGGUGUUUGGCACCUCGAUGUCGGCUCAUCACAUCCUGGGGCUGAAGUAGGUCCCAAGGGUAUGGCUGUUCGCCAUUUAAAGUGGUACGCGAGCUGGGUUUAGAACGUCGUGAGACAGUUCGGUCCCUAUCUGCCGUGGGCGCUGGAGA
RNAcentral lists this ribosomal RNA (1968 nucleotides) under Salmonella enterica. RNAcentral describes it as "partial 23S ribosomal RNA". It matches the Rfam family "Bacterial large subunit ribosomal RNA", at positions 711 to 2660 of the family's 2925-position model. The record is from RNAcentral. Lineage: Bacteria; Pseudomonadati; Pseudomonadota; Gammaproteobacteria; Enterobacterales; Enterobacteriaceae.